This 274-nucleotide ribosomal RNA is filed under the name uncultured bacterium. RNAcentral's name for it is "partial 16S ribosomal RNA". It matches the Rfam family "Bacterial small subunit ribosomal RNA", at positions 523 to 796 of the family's 1533-position model. The record is from RNAcentral.
AUACAGAGGGUGCAAGCGUUAUUCGGAAUUACUGGGCGUAAAGCGCGCGUAGGCGGAUGAUUAAGUCAGUUGUGAAAGCCUUGGGCUCAACCUAGGAACUGCAUCUGAUACUGGUCGUCUAGAGUUUAAGAGAGGGAAGUGGAAUUCCAGGUGUAGCAGUGAAAUGCGUAGAUAUCUGGAGGAACAUCAGUGGCGAAGGCGACUUCCUGGCUUAAAACUGACGCUGAGGUGCGAAAGCGUGGGUAGCGAACGGGAUUAGAAACCCUAGUAGUCC